GGUUAAGCGACUAAGCGUACACGGUGGAUGCCCUGGCAGUCAGAGGCGAUGAAGGACGUGCUAAUCUGCGAUAAGCGUCGGUAAGGUGAUAUGAACCGUUAUAACCGGCGAUUUCCGAAUGGGGAAACCCAGUGUGUUUCGACACACUAUCAUUAACUGAAUCCAUAGGUUAAUGAGGCGAACCGGGGGAACUGAAACAUCUAAGUACCCCGAGGAAAAGAAAUCAACCGAGAUUCCCCCAGUAGCGGCGAGCGAACGGGGAGGAGCCCAGAGCCUGAAUCAGUGUGUGUGUUAGUGGAAGCGUCUGGAAAGGCGCGCGAUACAGGGUGACAGCCCCGUACACAAAAAUGCACAUGCUGUGAGCUCGAUGAGUAGGGCGGGACACGUGGUAUCCUGUCUGAAUAUGGGGGGACCAUCCUCCAAGGCUAAAUACUCCUGACUGACCGAUAGUGAACCAGUACCGUGAGGGAAAGGCGAAAAGAACCCCGGCGAGGGGAGUGAAAAAGAACCUGAAACCGUGUACGUACAAGCAGUGGGAGCACAGAGCAAUCUGUGUGACUGCGUACCUUUUGUAUAAUGGGUCAGCGACUUAUAUUCUGUAGCAAGGUUAACCGAAUAGGGGAGCCGAAGGGAAACCGAGUCUUAACUGGGCGUUAAGUUGCAGGGUAUAGACCCGAAACCCGGUGAUCUAGCCAUGGGCAGGUUGAAGGUUGGGUAACACUAACUGGAGGACCGAACCGACUAAUGUUGAAAAAUUAGCGGAUGACUUGUGGCUGGGGGUGAAAGGCCAAUCAAACCGGGAGAUAGCUGGUUCUCCCCGAAAGCUAUUUAGGUAGCGCCUCGUGAAUUCAUCUCCGGGGGUAGAGCACUGUUUCGGCAAGGGGGUCAUCCCGACUUACCAACCCGAUGCAAACUGCGAAUACCGGAGAAUGUUAUCACGGGAGACACACGGCGGGUGCUAACGUCCGUCGUGAAGAGGGAAACAACCCAGACCGCCAGCUAAGGUCCCAAAGUCAUGGUUAAGUGGGAAACGAUGUGGGAAGGCCCAGACAGCCAGGAUGUUGGCUUAGAAGCAGCCAUCAUUUAAAGAAAGCGUAAUAGCUCACUGGUCGAGUCGGCCUGCGCGGAAGAUGUAACGGGGCUAAACCAUGCACCGAAGCUGCGGCAGCGACGCUGAUGCGUUGUUGGGUA
This 1191-nucleotide ribosomal RNA is filed under the name Escherichia coli. Its description in RNAcentral is "partial 23S ribosomal RNA". It matches the Rfam family "Bacterial large subunit ribosomal RNA", at positions 1 to 1230 of the family's 2925-position model. Lineage: Bacteria; Pseudomonadati; Pseudomonadota; Gammaproteobacteria; Enterobacterales; Enterobacteriaceae. The record is from RNAcentral.